UACGUAGGGUGCAAGCGUUGUCCGGAAUUAUUGGGCGUAAAGAGCUCGUAGGCGGUUUGUUGCGUCGGCUGUGAAAUCCCGAGGCUCAACCUCGGGUCUGCAGUCGAUACGAGCAAACUAGAGUGUUGCAGGGGAGACUGGAAUUCCUGGUGUAGCGGUGAAAUGCGCAGAUAUCAGGAGGAACACCGGUGGCGAAGGCGGGUCUCUGGGGCAACAACUGACGCUGAGGAGCGAAAGCCGUGGGGAGCGAACAGG
Molecule: ribosomal RNA, 255 nt
Filed under: uncultured bacterium
Lineage: Bacteria
Description: partial 16S ribosomal RNA
Rfam family: Bacterial small subunit ribosomal RNA
Source: RNAcentral